This is a long non-coding RNA of Esox lucius (northern pike), 684 nucleotides long. Lineage: Eukaryota; Metazoa; Chordata; Actinopteri; Esociformes; Esocidae. The record is from Ensembl.
CAAUUUUAAGAUUGUGCAAUCCAUGCAUUUUUAGGUGUCUUUCAUAUUGCCUGUUUAAAUCUCCGGUUUAGAUUGAGCGGAAUUAAACACCAACCGUUUUUGGUAAACACAUUUUUGGGCCUUCAAAUCUUGGCCAAGUGACCAGCAUCUUACACAACCUGAGCAGAUACUUUUUGUAUUGAGGACAGACCGGUGAUGAUACAGAGUACAUUACCAUAAUGGAUUCAGUUACAGACACCCUAUCUUGUGGCUGCACAGCGUGAGGGGAUUGUUGUUUCAUUGUUUUCUUUCAUGCUUGAAAGGUAAUAUCGUCAACUCAUCAAAAUACUUUGAUUGUUAGAGCUUCAGACUUUGUACACAGGCCUGGUGAUUGACUGCAGAUUGAGUUGAUUGGUGAAUCUCUGAUAGACCCCGUACAUGUGACCAUGAGAGCGGAUGAAUGUAAUGAACGCACGUUUGGUAAUUUGCUUGAAAGUGUUAUGCAGAGUAAUGCUGAGAUUAAGAUUGAUGAAUCACUAGAGCUGGUGGUACAAAUUGUCAAAAACCGCGAGGGUGGUGCCCCACGACGUAAAGCACAAACACUGUUGAUAGAGUAGAUUAUCACUUAAAAAAGAAGGCAUUUAUAUGUGGCUGUGAAUAAUGAUUCUACAUGUUUUUCCAUUUGUUUGAUGGGUAUGUUGAACC